UACGUAGGGUGCAAGCGUUGUCCGGAAUUAUUGGGCGUAAAGAGCUCGUAGGCGGUCUGUCGCGUCGAAUGUGAAAACCCGGGGCUCAACCCCGGGCCUGCAUUCGAUACGGGCAGACUAGAGUUCGGUAGGGGAGUCUGGAAUUCCUGGUGUAGCGGUGAAAUGCGCAGAUAUCAGGAGGAACACCGGUGGCGAAGGCGGGACUCUGGGCCGAUACUGACGCUGAGGAGCGAAAGCGUGGGUAGCAAACAGG
This 253-nucleotide ribosomal RNA is filed under the name uncultured bacterium. Its description in RNAcentral is "partial 16S ribosomal RNA". It matches the Rfam family "Bacterial small subunit ribosomal RNA", at positions 524 to 776 of the family's 1533-position model. The record is from RNAcentral.